GAGGAUUUGGCAGUGUUUAUGAAGUAACUAGCGCCAAGGACGCAAGCUGUCAAUUUUACUUACAGAACUUUGCAUAUCUGUUUAGGAUUCAUGGCUGGAAUUAUAUGACCUCUGUGCAUAUGCAAAUUGUUAGUUCUUUGUUUUGCUGAUCAGGUGAAAUUUACAGUGAAGAUGCCAGGCAUGCCAUAUAUCAGAGUGGUGAGUAUGCUGUGCUCUCUAUGUAAUCUUAUAUUCACGUUAAUCACAGACUACAAAUGACAUUUCAAUUGGCUAACGGUUUUGACUUGUUUACUUAGUCCUUAUUUGGGAAAUCACCUCCAUUGAAGAGUCAUGUUUUCUUUCUUUUAGCCUGGUCAUCUGGAACACCUCCCCAUGGAGAUCGGCCUGACACUCAUGGCCAAUUAGGUCCCCAUUGUUCCUCAGAUCAUUAAACUGCUGGACUAGCAGGACGACACACACCACUGCAUCAUGGUCAUGGCGCGGCCCUUGCCUUGCAUGGAUUUGUUUCGUUUCGAGGAGCUCUACGGUGGAACCCUUGAAGAGGGGAUGUCACAAAAUGUAAGGUGGCAGGUCACUGAUGCUGCUAACAUUUUUGGGACAUUAAAUUGGAGAACCUGCUGGUGAACCAGGACACCAUGGAGGUCAAAUUGACUGACUUUGGGUGCAGCCUUUAAAGUUUUCCAUGGAACAAAAGUGUACAGUCCUUUAGAGUUCACCAUGAAGGGCAUGUACUAUGCAAGGCCGAUGACAGUGUGGAGACUAGAGGAACAUCCUACAGCCUACGACCGUGACGUGAUCAAUGUGAACCUCUAGACCAGACCUGGACUGUCACGAGGUGAGAUCUCCAUCAAAGAACAAAGGAGGACAAUUUAUAAAUCAUACAAAUAAGAUGUAUAUUAACAAAGAUUUUUUUAGCUAAAAAAUAUAUAUAGAUAUUAACUAAUUUUCAGACAUCUCUCUAGUCUUUUUGUACAGAAUGCUGGCAGAUAAUCUGUGUUUGUCUACGGCCUAAGCCACAGAAGAGACCAAUGCAGGAAUUGUAAUACAGAAGCAAAAUAUAGGACAUGCAACACAGAGGAUGAGCUAAUUGACUUAAUACUGAUAUCAAGUGUUGUUUACAUUUAAAUGAGCCUCAACAUUCUAUGUCAGUACAGCAGCUCAAGUUUACAUUUGAAAUCAACACAGCUGUCCCUGAAGCCUGAUCAAAUGUGCAACAGGCUCUAGCAGGGCAUCUACCGCUCUGUGGCACAGCCCAUGAGGAAGACACGCAGUGGUCGGCAACAUCCUUGCAGCCUUGAGCUGAGACUGAAGAUCGAGCAGCGUCUGUGGCAGAUGCUCAACUGCCCUUCACUGGUGGAGACAGAGCAGCCUGACGGACCCGUCCUGAUCACUGAGAGCUUCUCCACAACCAGCAGAAGAUUCACUCCUCAAGUACAUGUGGACAUCAGUGAAGAGCCCGCUCCUGAGAAACCCAGAAGAAAGAAGCCCAGACACUGAGUCACCACAGUGUCACAUGGAGCAUCGCACAGUGGGACCUACAUAUGAAAAUACUGUAUAUAUUGUACAUAG
This is a long non-coding RNA of Cyprinus carpio carpio, 1569 nucleotides long. Lineage: Eukaryota; Metazoa; Chordata; Actinopteri; Cypriniformes; Cyprinidae. The record is from Ensembl.